Molecule: ribosomal RNA, 212 nt
Filed under: uncultured bacterium
Lineage: Bacteria
Description: partial 16S ribosomal RNA
Rfam family: Bacterial small subunit ribosomal RNA
Source: RNAcentral
GACACGGCCCAGACUCCUACGGGAGGCAGCAUGGGGAAUAUUGCACAAUGGGCGUCAAGCCUUGAUGCAGCCAUGCCGCGUGUGUGAAGAAGGCCUUCGGGUUGUAAAGGCACUUUCAGUCAGGAGGAAAGGUUAACGGUUAAUACCCCGUUAGCCUGUGACGUUACUGACAGAAGAAGCACCGGCUAACUCCGUGCCAGCAGCCGCGGUAA